This 419-nucleotide ribosomal RNA is filed under the name bacterium. RNAcentral's name for it is "partial 16S ribosomal RNA". It matches the Rfam family "Bacterial small subunit ribosomal RNA", at positions 355 to 776 of the family's 1533-position model. The record is from RNAcentral.
UGGGGGAUAUUGCACAAUGGGCGAAAGCCUGAUGCAGCGACGCCGCGUGGGGGAUGAAGGCCUUCGGGUUGUAAACUUCUUUUGCUCUGAACAAGGCGCACCAUGGGGUGUGUUGAGUGUAGGGGUUGAUUAGCGCCGGCUAACUACUUGCCAGCAGCCGCGGUAAUACGUAGGGCGCGAGCGUUGUCCGGAAUUAUUGGGCGUAAAGGGCUUGUAGGUGGCUGGUUGCGUCUGUCGUGAAAGCUCAUGGCUUAACUGUGGGUUUGCGGUGGGUACGGGCUGGCUUGAGUGCAGUAGGGGAGGCUGGAAUUCCUGGUGUAGCGGUGGAAUGCGCAGAUAUCAGGAGGAAUACCGGUGGCGAAGGCGGGUCUCUGGGCUGUUACUGACACUGAGGAGCGAAAGCAUGGGGAGCGAACAGG